This 2746-nucleotide ribosomal RNA is filed under the name Triticum aestivum (bread wheat). RNAcentral describes it as "partial small subunit ribosomal RNA". Lineage: Eukaryota; Viridiplantae; Streptophyta; Magnoliopsida; Poales; Poaceae. The record is from RNAcentral.
UUUUUUUUGUUAUAGCUUAUUUUAUUGGAUAUAAUGUUGCUGAAAGUUGUGGACAAAAUGAUACUCGUCAAUUAUGUCCUAGUCACAGUUUAUUCCUGAAUUUGUUUUACUUACUGGGGCUGUAGUUAUAUUAGUUUUCCAUGAAGAGAAAUCAUUGUUGUAGGUACAGAUCAAAGUUAAAAUGACGGGUAAGAUUUUAUUAUUAUUAAAUUUGCUCUUCUACUUCAUUAAUAGUAAUAGAUUCUCCUGUUUUAAUUAUGAAUUUAUUCCUUUAUGAUUUGGUCACAGGAAAAUGUAAAACAAAAUCAAGCUUAUGUACAGUCUUCUGAUAUAUACUUCUCAUUACUUGAAGCUUGCUUGUAUGAUCGAACUACAAUAGUGUGAUACGGGGUCCAUCAUAUCCUCCUGGCUCCAGCUAUCAUAGGGGACAAGGUAUUUGGUGUGAUACCCUUGGGCUUACAUUUCGACCAAGUAGUUUCGGUUGACAUAUCAUUGUCGAUUGGUGAAGGUAAAUGCCUUAGCUUAUCUUUUCCCUACUUCUCCGCAGGCACUUACAUUUUCGUUUUUGGAUUUAGAUAAUGUUAAUAAUGGAACUGUUGUAGGUCUCUAGCUUCCUAGCUGGAGGUGGUCCAAUUGAAAUUCAACAUGCUUAUAUGAAACCAUUUUUAUUGGCUUAUGUUAACUAAAUGCAAUAAAUUCAGUAUUUUCAUUAAGAUUGCUUGCAAAUUGGCAGAAAUCGAUUGCAUGCUAUUUCUUCUGCAUCUUCAAUAUUUAUUUUGUAAGUAUGUGUGGUAAACUACAUAAUUGCACAUUGGACUAAAUAAAUCACAAAAUAACCAAGAAGCGCUGCUGCUAUGAUUUCACCAAUAUGUGUGUAACGAACAGUUGAAGGGUUGAAGUUUGUUAUGAUUAUAAAGUAUGCAAUACUAAAGCUUAAUGUUAUAUCACUGUGACUUAUGAUUCCACAUUGUAGGGUUUUUAAGUUUCCACCCUAUUACUUUCUGUCAUUCAUCCAUUAUCAUACUUCUGCUUGGUUCGUGUUACUUCUCAUUUUUGCUUGAUUAGAAUAAACAAAUGCUAGGAUUUCUUGGUUUCUAAGAUUGAAGCUGUUUCUGUGGUUAGACACCAUGUGUUUCUCAAAUGUUCAGCUCUAUGCACAGAUACAAGACAGAUGCCCUAGUUGCAUAGCACAAAGGCCUAUACUAGAUUAAGUGCCUACUAACCCUUCCUGUCUUCUCUAGUUCCAUGGGUGUGUGGUGGGCUACUACGCUUUGCCGCCUAAUCGUGGCAGAGUGCAUGACACCAAACUUAUUUUGGAUAAGAAUGCUUCCACCACAAUUUAGUCGAGAAGUGAGGGGAAAAGAGUAUGACAGGCAGAUUUUAUGGCUAGGAAAGUACGGCACACCACAACUUUGAUGGUGAACCAAGGGCAUACCAUGGAAAGUAAAAUUUGGCAGUGAAUCAAACAGGCUCUAUUGGCAUGAUAAAUCAGCACCAAAGUGGUACUGUAACAGUGUCGUUAACAGUCACUGAUGACAGCGCUAAUUCAGGCGAUGAAGUUGUGGAUCAGAGCCGGGGACCCAGAUUUAUCAGCCUUUGAGCACCGUUCCGAUCAAUGCCCUAGCUAAGGGAAUUACAAAAUCCGCCUUAUGGAAGUGGUUAGAAACCAUCCUUCAUGUCCCCAUCUUGAUCGUCCAAUCCAUGCUUUCCAUUUAUCUCACGCGAUCUCUUUUGGAUCAAAAGCUGGAUGUGACUAUUCUAUUCUUAAGCCAUGGUGAUAUCAGAUUUAUUGUGGUACAGUGGCGAUUGUACGAUUCGUGCAGAAUCAGGAGGAACAUAGUGGACUGGACAGAGAUAGACAGCUACAAGCAGUGCCAUGCUGACUCGGACGUGCACUGCGUUGUCCGCCUAUCUGCAAAGCUGCAGCUCCAGGCGAUUCAGUAGCUGGGAAAUUCACAUGAAACAGGAUACAAUUUUCCGCAUACAGCAAUUCAGCUGUUUUGCCUUUUUUUUUGACGGAACUGUUUUGCUUUUUUUGACCUUAUUUAUCUUUCUUUUUUGAGGAAUUGGCAGCUCUAUGCCUAUAUAUUAAGAGGGAUGUAAAGGUAAAUAAGGUCUGUCACAAGAUGAUCUGUAAGCAAUCAGAAAUUGCCACAGGUUUUUUCGAAAGUGAGAUGCCGGUGUGGUGCAGGCAUUGCAAGUUUGCAAGCAGCGAAAGACCCCACCACUCCUCUCCACUGGGCUAAGAGAGGGGCGGCUGGAGCAUGAUCCUUUCCUCGCCUGCCGGCUGUCCGUCCAUCCAUCAGACAGCCGGCACGACGGUGGCGGUUGUUGCUGAUAGGCCAUCCCUCGUGGGGGCUGUCCAUUCUGGUUUUGGUGUCUAGCUUGGCUUUCAUCAGAUGAGGGCCAUGUCGCGCAACACAGCCAUCCCAUCUCUGUGUUUUUAUCUUUCCAGUUUGCUUGGGUGCUGGUGGAAUGAAUACAUGAAACCAUCCAGGAAGACACCAGCUGCCUGCCAUAGUCGGCUGGGAGUGGGAGGGAGUCGGACCAGACGGAUCGAGGUACUUGCAAAUCUUGUCCUUCAUAGUAGAUAGAUAGCCAGUGGCUUUCAGCAGCUGUUCUAGCAGUGUCUUCUCCACAGCACACUAAACCACUUGUGUCAGUAGUAUCUUUGCAUUGUGGUCUUGUAGCAGUUGAUUAUGGUGUUGGAGGUGGAAAAAAGCUUCAGAUACACACUGUCAUGUUC